This 335-nucleotide long non-coding RNA is filed under the name Brassica napus (rape). RNAcentral's name for it is "long non-coding RNA (BNAP_LNC021532)". Lineage: Eukaryota; Viridiplantae; Streptophyta; Magnoliopsida; Brassicales; Brassicaceae. The record is from RNAcentral.
GGGGAUCAAUGUCAUUAAAGAACUAUUUGAUGACAUAAACAUGUAAUUCACGCAAGAGGAUGUUGGGGCGAAGAGGUACAAUCUUUGACAUCACGCAAGAGGAGUUACCAGAAGUCUUCCAUUCACCGGCAAUAACUAUACAAUGAUCCGAAACCUUCAAACGGUGAACAUCUGACAUUAGUCUAUUUAUGUGGCUUAGAUUGCACAAAAUUAAAGUUAGAAAACUAACCAAACAGUUAUCCAAAAGCUAAACAUCAAGAUUAAUGAUUUCUUGAAUUUUUCUGAGAAAAAAAGUAAGAAGAAGAAGAUGACGAGAAAGAUGAUGAAUAAUGUGA